CAUACCUAUUCGAAGGGAUAGGGUCGGUUUGGCCGGAUUUCACACAGGUGUUGCAUGGCUGUCGUCAGCUCGCGUCGUGAGAUGUUGGGUUAAGUCCCGCAACGAGCGCAACCCUCAUCCUUAGUUACCACCAGGUUAUGCUGGGGACUUUAAGGAAGCUGCCAGUGAUAAACUGGAGGAAGGUGGGGAUGAUGUCAAGUCAUCAUGGCCCUUAUGGAGUGGGCUACACACGCGCUACAAUGGUGAUUACAAUGGGCUGCAAGGUCGCAAGGCUGAGCUAAUCCUAAAAAAUCAUCUCAGUUCGGAUUGUUCUCUGCAACCCGAGAGCAUGAAGUUGGAAUUGCUAGUAAUCGUGGAUCAGCAUGCCACGGUGAAUACGUUCUCGGGUCUUGUACACACUGCCCGUCACGCCAUGGGAAUUGGUUUCACUCGAAGCU
RNAcentral lists this ribosomal RNA (437 nucleotides) under Wolbachia pipientis. RNAcentral describes it as "bacterial SSU rRNA". It matches the Rfam family "Bacterial small subunit ribosomal RNA", at positions 992 to 1428 of the family's 1533-position model. Lineage: Bacteria; Pseudomonadati; Pseudomonadota; Alphaproteobacteria; Rickettsiales; Anaplasmataceae. The record is from RNAcentral.